RNAcentral lists this ribosomal RNA (700 nucleotides) under uncultured bacterium. RNAcentral describes it as "bacterial SSU rRNA". It matches the Rfam family "Bacterial small subunit ribosomal RNA", at positions 94 to 828 of the family's 1533-position model. The record is from RNAcentral.
AGUGGCGGACGGGUGAGUAACGCGUAAGAAUCUAACUUCAGGACGGGGACAACAGUGGGAAACGACUGCUAAUACCCGAUGUGCCGCGAGGUGAAACCUAAUUGGCCUGAAGAAGAGCUUGCGUCUGAUUAGCUAGUUGGUGGGGUAAGAGCCUACCAAGGCGACGAUCAGUAGCUGGUCUGAGAGGACGAGCAGCCACACUGGGACUGAGACACGGCCCAGACUCCUACGGGAGGCAGCAGUGGGGAAUUUUCCGCAAUGGGCGAAAGCCUGACGGAGCAACGCCGCGUGAGGGAGGAAGGUCUUUGGAUUGUAAACCUCUUUUCUCAAGGAAGAAGUUCUGACGGUACUUGAGGAAUCAGCCUCGGCUAACUCCGUGCCAGCAGCCGCGGUAAUACGGGGGAGGCAAGCGUUAUCCGGAAUUAUUGGGCGUAAAGCGUCCGCAGGUGGUCAGCCAAGUCUGCCGUCAAAUCAGGUUGCUUAACGACCUAAAGGCGGUGGAAACUGGCAGACUAGAGAGCAGUAGGGGUAGCAGGAAUUCCCAGUGUAGCGGUGAAAUGCGUAGAGAUUGGGAAGAACAUCGGUGGCGAAAGCGUGCUACUGGGCUGUAUCUGACACUCAGGGACGAAAGCUAGGGGAGCGAAAGGGAUUAGAUACCCCUGCAGUCCUAGCCGUAAACGAUGGAUACUAGGCGUGGCUU